GAGUCUUCCCAGGGACCCUCACUGAAAUGAAAGGUAGAAGGACAGUGAGUUUUAGAGAAAUUUGUGAAGACAGAAAGUCAGACAGGGGCCAGAUCAGCCAUUCACUAGAGAAAAGGGGCUUUAGAGAAGAUACAAUUUGUUAUAGGAAAAGAUUUUAAACUUUUGAAACAAACGCUGUUCAGUUUCAGAUCAAUUAAGAGAUUAAAAAAAAAAAACAGUUUUCUGCACUGUGUGCCAGUUUCAGAUAUUUCGUGGUUCCUGAGAUCAGGGAAGUCAGCAGUGAACGUGAAGAAAAGAAUUAAGCCUUGCUGUUGCUUAGACACCUAAGGGAUUACAGGUGAUGGACUGGCCCAGCGGCAGCUGAAACAUGAGGGAGAAGAGGGAGGAGGAUACUGCACGGCAAAGAGCAUUCAGUCCUGUACCAGGAGGAGUGAAUGAACAGCUGUAGUCUUCUUAAUUUCCACCCUCAAACUUUCAGCCUCUGUCCACUCCCAAUGAGUCUGUCCUGGGGAACAGAGAAUCCACGAGCAGCUUUCAAGCAAGAAGAAAAAUCACAUUACUUUACCCUGUGUUAAAAUAAUUUCCAGGCUCUGAAGCAGCUAAUAUGAUAGCUGUGUGGAUCAAAUGCAGACAAAGACAGGAAGAUCCCAACAGCAGGAGAUAUUUGUGGUACUUUCAGUGAGAAAAAUAAUGAAAACAUUCUCACAAAUAAAAA
Molecule: long non-coding RNA, 715 nt
Filed under: Struthio camelus australis
Lineage: Eukaryota; Metazoa; Chordata; Aves; Struthioniformes; Struthionidae
Description: lncRNA (ENSSCUG00000009033.1)
Source: RNAcentral